This is a non-coding RNA of Parelaphostrongylus tenuis, 65 nucleotides long. NCBI's taxonomy places the organism in Eukaryota, Metazoa, Nematoda, Chromadorea, Rhabditida, Metastrongylidae. The record is from the annotation of a GenBank genome assembly.
GCAGUGUAAUGGUAGCAUGCGCCCCUGGAAAGGGUGAGACGCUGGUUCAACUCUCGCCUGGAGUA